AUUAUCUUGGCAGACUGAAGUGUAUUAAAUUUAGAAUUUAAUUAUGUAAUUAUUAUUACAGAUAAUA
Molecule: transfer RNA, 67 nt
Filed under: Sigara septemlineata
Lineage: Eukaryota; Metazoa; Arthropoda; Insecta; Hemiptera; Corixidae
Description: tRNA-Leu
Source: RNAcentral